AGGUGACCUGCGGAAGGAU
This 19-nucleotide ribosomal RNA is filed under the name Biatoropsis usnearum. RNAcentral's name for it is "partial 18S ribosomal RNA". Lineage: Eukaryota; Fungi; Basidiomycota; Tremellomycetes; Tremellales; Tremellaceae. The record is from RNAcentral.